GUGAGCACCGUGGUGACGAGUCGUAUUAUCCUGAUUGUGAUUAAUAAUUGUUGAUUACGAGAAUGACGACAGGAGUAGGCGUUAGAAAUGUGAAUGCCACGAUGAUUAAUGGUCCAUUCGAUGAUUCUUCAAACAAAUAUGGCAAUGUAUAAUUAAGAUUUUACACAACUUCUCCACUUUCUGUUAUUCUAUGGAAAGAAUCUAGUCAUGCUCUAAAAAC
Long non-coding RNA from Bombus huntii, 220 nucleotides. RefSeq lists it as uncharacterized. The record is from RefSeq and is a predicted model, not a curated record. NCBI's taxonomy places the organism in Eukaryota, Metazoa, Arthropoda, Insecta, Hymenoptera, Apidae. The transcript has 3 exons.